This is a long non-coding RNA of Silurus meridionalis, 443 nucleotides long. RefSeq lists it as uncharacterized. The transcript has 3 exons. The record is from RefSeq and is a predicted model, not a curated record. Lineage: Eukaryota; Metazoa; Chordata; Actinopteri; Siluriformes; Siluridae.
UUAGUAUGAAUUCAAACAGGACAUGUAAAUUUAACAGGGUAAAUUAUACACCUGUUACAUACAUCUAUAGGUUUAAAACGAGGAAAAGGUUUGUCACGUGUCAUUGUUAAAUAGCGGCGAUGUGGGCGUGGCUAAAUGGCGUUGAUGUGAAGCGGAAUCCAGAGAGCCUACAGAUAUGGAAACUGCUCUGAGGCAGAUUCUCCAGCAGAACCAGAAGAAGAGGAGAUGCAGAGAAGAGAUAACAUCAAGAAACUGGUCAUGAUUGAGAUCAAACUGCCAGAUGAAGGACAGCAGACUGAAGGACACAAAGAACCAUCAGAAAUGGAUGAACAAUAUCACUGACAAUGAAGCUAUAAGAACAGAUAAACAACCCUAUAAUAUAUUACAGUGUUUUAUAUGUUGAUAUAAAUAACUAAUAGAGGAAAAGUAGAUUCUUAAUCACA